UAAUACGUAGGUGGCAAGCGUUGUCCGGAUUUAUUGGGUUUAAAGGGUGCGUAGGCGGUCCUAUAAGUCAGUGCUGAAAUAUCCCAGCUUAACUGGGAGGGUGGCAUUGAUACUGCAGGACUUGAGUAGAGUCGAAGUAGGCGGAAUUGACGGUGUAGCGGUGAAAUGCUUAGAUAUCGUCAAGAACACCGAUAGUGAAGACAGCUUACUAGGCUCAAACUGACGCUGAGGCACGAAAGUGUGGGGAUCAAACAGGAUUAGAUACCCUGGUAGUCCACACUGUAAACGUUGAUUACUCGCUGUUGGCGAUACACAGCCAGCGGCCAAGCGCAAGCGAUAAGUAAUCCACCUGGGGAGUACGCCGGCAACGGUG
RNAcentral lists this ribosomal RNA (373 nucleotides) under uncultured bacterium. RNAcentral's name for it is "bacterial SSU rRNA". It matches the Rfam family "Bacterial small subunit ribosomal RNA", at positions 521 to 896 of the family's 1533-position model. The record is from RNAcentral.